CAUCCAGGAUAGAAAGGACCAGCCAGAGCUCGUUCCGUAGUGUAUUUCAGAAUCGUCAGGGAGGAGCCGGGAGCGGAAUUAUCCCGUUAACACUGAGACCACAUUUCACCUGUUACUUGUUUUUCUAAAUGGAGUAGGAGAGAAAGAUGCUAAAAUGUGAUCUUGGGAGGAGUCCCCCAGUCCCCCGAAAAAGAAGAAGAAGAAAAAAAGCAGAACUCCAAACCCCUGUGGUCAUGGCAAUUUCCCAUCAAAACUGCCCAUGUAAAAUAAACACAAGCUGCUAAAAGUGAAUGUUAAGAAGGAAGGCACUGGUUAGUGGGUGGUCCUGACCAAUCCCCUGGAGCUGGAGAGGGGUUUUCCCACGGCCUUUGGUUUAAUGUGUCUGUAAACUCAACAAACCUCCGUUUCCCUGAGGUAAUCUGCAAAAACAUCAGUUUUCAGUCCCCAGAGACCAUUUCCAAUUAAACCUCGCCCCCCAAAUCAUUCAAUGUAACAUUUGCCUUAUUUUUAGAAGAAACAAAUGUUCCCAUAUUAUUCCCAGUUUUUGAGAGAAUCCUGAGGCACCUCUCUCGGCUGCUACUUGAAGUUGAAUUCUUGAAAAAUCUUAUGUAAACAGAAAGCUUAGGCCAGGUCAGGAGUAAAAUGCAGUCAAAGCUGUUUCUCAUCACACAGGUGAUUACAGGUUAGCUCUGCCCUAUUCAAGACAAUCUGAUCCAUUCCUUUUUUUGACAGCAGUUUAGAGACAAUUGGCCAACAAAACCAGCCUGGCCAACAAGGUGAAACCGUCGCUACUAAAAAUGCAAAACUUAGCUGGGCGUGGUGGCAGCAAGUUACUCAAUCCUACCUCCUCACCCCUUCCGCCCAACCCCCAGCAUCCCUUAGAAGUGACCCCUAGUUUGAGGCUG
RNAcentral lists this small RNA (905 nucleotides) under Pan troglodytes (chimpanzee). Its description in RNAcentral is "sense intronic". The record is from RNAcentral. Lineage: Eukaryota; Metazoa; Chordata; Mammalia; Primates; Hominidae.